Molecule: long non-coding RNA, 757 nt
Filed under: Chinchilla lanigera (long-tailed chinchilla)
Lineage: Eukaryota; Metazoa; Chordata; Mammalia; Rodentia; Chinchillidae
Description: lncRNA (ENSCLAG00000025454.1)
Source: RNAcentral
CUCUGAUGAUUUUCUUGUGUACUUUAAAGCAUACACAGUACUGAACAGAAUUAUCACCCAGCAUGGCUCCAAAGGAAGUGCAAAGCAAGCAUGGUAAUAAAAAGAAAGCUCAGAGCAGUAAUGAAGGUGACAAGGAUGUGUGAAGCAAUAAUGAAGGCAAGAAGACAGUGCAGAGCAAGAAUAAAAAGAAGGUUUUCAACAAAGUAAUCGUUGAAUUGAAGAAAGAAAUCAUAGAAAACGAGGAGCAUGGUAUUUACAUGAGUGAUUUGGCCUGAAGUAAGAGAAGGCAAAGCCAACAAUCACGACUACAGUGAUACCUCAGUCAUGAACUCAGUUCUGGAAGCAAGCUGGAAGCAAGAACAGAAUCAAAUUUCCCCAUAAGAGGGUUCCGUAGUCCAGGAAAGAACAAGUGACAAACAAGUGAUAGUAGACAAAUUAUUCAUUAAAACUGAUCCCUUGGCUAAGAGACAAAGAAGAGAGGAACGCCCUGAAGGAGAUCUGCCCCAUGUCUUUAUGGGGGGACUCUCCCUCUGAACAGUAACCUCAUCCUCAUCCAUCCGCCUGUCCUCCCUGCGGAAGUCACUUCAAGCAAAGUCACAAAACAGAAUUUUGAAUAACUAAUGGAACAAGCAAAUUCAUGAUAAAAAAGAAGAGAUUUCCUACCUUUCUUUUGCUCUGGACUCUCAUUAAAAUAUGUCCAAUGUGCCAGUGUAUCAAAUUAAGAAGAGGACAAAGAUCUUUCAUCAAAGCCCCUGAA